GCCAGGUGUGGUAGCACAUGCCUGUAAUCCCAGUGGCUUGGGAGGCUGAGGCAGGAGGAUCACAAGUUCAAAGGCAGCCUCAGCAAAAGCAAGGUGCUGAGCAACUCAGUGAGACCCUUUCUCUA
RNAcentral lists this small RNA (125 nucleotides) under Marmota monax (woodchuck). Lineage: Eukaryota; Metazoa; Chordata; Mammalia; Rodentia; Sciuridae. The record is from RNAcentral.